UGUGGCUGUCGUAAAAACCCUAUUUGUAAACAACCAGUCCUUUAACUAAGCGCUACGUCAUAAACACGGCGCGCUUGGAAGACCACGAUGUCAUCUUCCUUCUGUCAGGAGGAUCCCAGUGAAGCUACAGGAGUUUCAUUAACGUCAACAACUUGGACCGAACGGUUUGUUUUGCUUGAUGAAGAGCAGGAAGGGCAGCCUGGAGAGAAAGAGAAGCCGGGUUGAGCCCACUACCAUCAUCCACGUACCACGAGGAAGAUGAGGGAGAGAAAUUAUCCUACCAUUAAAGAGACUGUGAAAAGAACGUUGAGAACAUCACCACUCUACAGGAAGACACAGUCCAGUAAUGGGUGUCAGAAUUUCAGUAGUGAACGACAGGCAGUACUGAUGCAUUUACUGAGACGGCACUCGAGGGCCUACUCUGCGUGCUCAGAGUUCAAGCCCAGCAGGCUGCAGCGGUCCUGACAUAGUCCGGAACAGCAGCACAGUCUUUGGAUGACUCCUCUGAAGAUGAAACAUGGCGAGUUCUUCUCAAGAGAAGCAGUACAGGUGUGCCUCAGCUCCACGGUCCCUCCUGCAACCUCCGCUCCUGAUGCUAACCUCAUGUCUCCAUCACACCAAGCAGCAGACCUGGAUUGACAGACCUUUCUCCAGAGCUGCCCCCUCCCUCUGAAACCCCCCUCUCCAAAACACUAUUUGUGUAGUUUUUAAAGUAUUUUUUGCAUGAGAAUUGUUGAUCAUAACAUUUCCAGCAGAUGCCUUAAUGUAAUGUUUGUGCACAAUAAAUGACAUUGAUCAUAACAUAUUGCUAUUUCCUUGCACUUCUACACCAUGAUAUUGUCAGAUAAGAUGCUGAUUACAUUAAAGCAGUGAAUGCUCUUCUUUAAGCAACAUAAACACACAAUGAUCCAAUGGAUCGGAAGUAGAAUGGGCACAUUACAUUCUGU
Long non-coding RNA from Pleuronectes platessa (European plaice), 947 nucleotides. RefSeq lists it as uncharacterized. The record is from RefSeq and is a predicted model, not a curated record. NCBI's taxonomy places the organism in Eukaryota, Metazoa, Chordata, Actinopteri, Pleuronectiformes, Pleuronectidae. The transcript is spliced from 5 exons.